Molecule: long non-coding RNA, 241 nt
Filed under: Elaeis guineensis (African oil palm)
Lineage: Eukaryota; Viridiplantae; Streptophyta; Magnoliopsida; Arecales; Arecaceae
Description: long non-coding RNA (EGUI_LNC006778)
Source: RNAcentral
AGGGGGACCAAGACCCCACUACGAGAGAGAGAUGCUAUCUGGCUCUAAUGCUCCAUCUCAUUACUGACCAAUACUUUGCCAAUUGAAUUGAUUUGCGUACGCGGACAUAAAUCACUCAUUUGGAGACUUUUAAGCUCCAAACGAGCAAUGAUUGCCUCCAGAUGAGUUGAAUGUUAGUUUAAGCCUCUCUUUAGAAGGUGCCCGGGACCCAUGAGCACGCUGUUGAGGAUGCACCCAGGGA